GGAUGUAGCUCAGUGGUAGAACACUUGCCUUGUAUGUGUGAGGCACUGGGUUCAAUUCCCAGCACCA
This 67-nucleotide transfer RNA is filed under the name Marmota monax (woodchuck). Its description in RNAcentral is "tRNA.Thr". It matches the Rfam family "tRNA", at positions 6 to 65 of the family's 71-position model. Rfam says of the family: Transfer RNA (tRNA) molecules are approximately 80 nucleotides in length. Their secondary structure includes four short double-helical elements and three loops (D, anti-codon, and T loops). The record is from RNAcentral. Lineage: Eukaryota; Metazoa; Chordata; Mammalia; Rodentia; Sciuridae.